Molecule: ribosomal RNA, 729 nt
Filed under: uncultured bacterium
Lineage: Bacteria
Description: bacterial SSU rRNA
Rfam family: Bacterial small subunit ribosomal RNA
Source: RNAcentral
AGAGUUUGAUCCUGGCUCAGGAUGAACGCUGGCGGCGUGCCUAAGAUAUGCAAGUCGAGGGGGUUUAGACCCCCGGCGAACGGGUGAGUAACACGUGGGAACUUUCUACAAGUUCGGGAUAUCCCGCCGAAAGGCGGAGCAAUACCGGAUGUGGCCGCAAGGCUAAAGAUUUAUCGCUUGUAGUGAGGCCCGCGCCCCAUCAGCUAGUUGGUAAGGUAAAGGCUUACCAAGGCUACGACGGGUAGCGGAACCGAGAGGUUGAUCCGCCACACUGGGACUGCGACACGGCCCAGACUCCUACGGGAGGCAGCAGUUUGGAAUAUUGGACAAUGGACGAAAGCCUGAUGCAGCGACGCCGCGUGGGGGAUGAAGCUUUUCGGAGUGUAAACCCCUUUCGACCCGGACGAAUGCCCCGCAAGGGGACUGACGGUACGGGUAUAAGAAGCCCCGGCUAACUACGUGCCAGCAGCCGCGGUAAGACGUAGGGGGCCAGCGUUGCUCGGAAUUACUGGGUGUAAAGGGUUCGUAGGCGGUGCGGCAAGUCGGGAGUGAAAUCUCUGGGCUCAACCCAGAGGCUGCUUCCGAAACUGCCGUGCUUGAGUGUGGGAGAGGCGCGUGGAAUUGCAGGUGUAGCGGUGAAAUGCGUANAUAUCUGCAGGAACACCCGUGGCGAAAGCGGCGCGCUGGACCACAACUGACGCUNAGGAACGAAAGCUAGGGGAGCAAACA